UUAGUUGUCCAUCAUUCAGUUGGGCGACUCUAGCGAGACUGCCGGUAUAAACCGGAGGAAGGUGGGGAUGACGUCAAAUCAUCAUGCCCCUUAUGACCUGGGCUACACACGUGCUACAAUGGUUGGUACAACGAGUUGCGAGUCGGUGACGGCGAGCUAAUCUCUUAAAGCCAAUCUCAGUUCGGAUUGUAGGCUGCAACUCGCCUACAUGAAGUCGGAAUCGCUAGUAAUCGCGGAUCAGCACGCCGCGGUGAAUACGUUCCCGGGCCUU
RNAcentral lists this ribosomal RNA (271 nucleotides) under uncultured Streptococcus sp. Its description in RNAcentral is "partial 16S ribosomal RNA". It matches the Rfam family "Bacterial small subunit ribosomal RNA", at positions 1111 to 1382 of the family's 1533-position model. Lineage: Bacteria; Bacillati; Bacillota; Bacilli; Lactobacillales; Streptococcaceae. The record is from RNAcentral.